Molecule: ribosomal RNA, 253 nt
Filed under: uncultured bacterium
Lineage: Bacteria
Description: partial 16S ribosomal RNA
Rfam family: Bacterial small subunit ribosomal RNA
Source: RNAcentral
GACAGAGGGUGCAAACGUUGCUCGGAACUACUGGGCGUAAAGCGCGUGUAGGCUGACCGGAAAGUCGGGCGUGAAAUCCCUGGGCUCAACCCAGGAACUGCACUCGAAACUCCCGGUCUUGAGUGGUGGAGAGGGAAGUGGAAUUCCUGGUGUAGAGGUGAAAUUCGUAGAUAUCAGGAGGAACACCAGUGGCGAAGGCGGCUUCCUGGACACCAACUGACGCUGAGACGCGAAAGCGUGGGGAGCAAACAGG